RNAcentral lists this ribosomal RNA (500 nucleotides) under uncultured bacterium. Its description in RNAcentral is "partial 16S ribosomal RNA". It matches the Rfam family "Bacterial small subunit ribosomal RNA", at positions 28 to 507 of the family's 1533-position model. The record is from RNAcentral.
GACGAACGCUGGCGGCGUGCCUAAUACGUGCAAGUCGUGCGGACCUUGUUGAAAGCUUGCUUUUAAAAGGUUAGCGGCGGACGGGUGAGUAACACGUGGGCAACCUGCCUGUAAGACUGGGAUAACGCCGGGAAACCGGGGCUAAUACCAGAUCGUUUUUUCCUCCGCAUGGAGGAAAAAGGAAAGGCGGCUUCGGCUGCCACUUACAGAUGGGCCCGCGGCGCAUUAGCUAGUUGGCGGGGUAAUGGCCCACCAAGGCAACGAUGCGUAGCCGACCUGAGAGGGUGAUCGGCCACAUUGGGACUGAGACACGGCCCAAACUCCUACGGGAGGCAGCAGUAGGGAAUCUUCCGCAAUGGACGAAAGUCUGACGGAGCAACGCCGCGUGAGUGAAGAAGGCCUUCGGGUCGUAAAACUCUGUUGCCGGGGAAGAACAAGUGCCGUUCGAACAGGGCGGCGCCUUGACGGUACCCGGCCAGAAAGCCACGGCUAACUACGUG